This 1197-nucleotide long non-coding RNA is filed under the name Monodelphis domestica (gray short-tailed opossum). Its description in RNAcentral is "lncRNA (ENSMODG00000029956.2)". Lineage: Eukaryota; Metazoa; Chordata; Mammalia; Didelphimorphia; Didelphidae. The record is from RNAcentral.
AUGGAUACUUUCAUGCCACUCCAAGACCUUCCCGCCCAGCUGGUGACAUCAGUUACUGAUGGAAUACUGAGACAUCACCUCCAUCUCAGUGGUUAUUUGGAAGCAGAGCUGAAUUCUGACAUGAGGUUAUGCUUAUACGUGGACAUGUAUCCUUUCCAUCCCUGAAUACAAAUUCCCUGAAGGCAGGAAAUUUUUAUUUUUGCUUUUCCAUCCCUCCCAUUUUGCAUAGUGCUUUGUAUAAAGCUUUAUAAAUAUUUGUUGUUGAAGUUGAAUGAUAUCACAGUAAGAGAGCUGCAGAGAAAUAAGAUCUAGGGGAGAAGUUAUAGGGAAUACUAAUUGGGAGAGGAAGAAGAGUAACUCUGGUUCUUCUAGUAGCAACAUAUGGCUGUCAGAGUUGGACUAUGAGGAGAGAGCUGAGUCCUGCAGAAAGACAGCUUUUGAACGAUAGUGCUGGAGAAGACUUUUGAGAGUCCCCCGGACAGCAAGGAGAUCGAAUCAGUCAAUGCUUAAAGAAAUGAAUUCAGAUUAUUCCUUAGAAAGUGAAAUACUAAAGCUGAAGCUGAAAUAUUUGUCAGGUCAUUGAGAAGGGAGGACUCUUAGACAAGACCUUGAGGCUGGGAAAGAUUGAAGGCAGAAGAAUAGGGCAGCAGAGGAAGAGAGAGAUGAGAGUGUCUUGGAAACAACAAAUGUGAGCUUAGACAGAUUUUGGGAGAUAGUAAAAGACAGAAGGGCCUGGGAUUAAAGUUAGAAGGUACUUUAGAAUUCAUUUUGUCCAAAGGCAGCUGGGUGGCUCAGUGGAUUGAGAGCCAGACCUAGAGACAGGAAGUCCUGGGUUCAAAUCUGGCCUCAAACAUUUCCUAACUGGAUGACCUUGGGCAAGUCACUUGACCCCCUAUGCCUAGUCCUUACUGCUCUUCUGCCUGGGAACCAAUACAGAAUAUUGAUUCUGAGACAAAAGGUAAUAGUUUGGGGGGGGGGGGAAGCAUCUUGACUAAUACUCAUAUUUCAGAUGAAAAAUUGGAGACCUUGCCAAUUGAUUGAGAGCUAUUUCAGUUAAAUGGUGGGGUAUAGAAGCACAACCAUAUGGAGUUUGAAGAAUAGUAGGUGUUUUAAAAGUGCAUUUUAAAACAUGACAUGCUAAUGAAAAUAUAGGAGGGCAUCUAAAUGACUAAAAUAAAGUAUCUGCAAAGUUAAACA